Sander lucioperca (pikeperch) is the source of this 91-nucleotide long non-coding RNA. RefSeq lists it as uncharacterized. The record is from RefSeq and is a predicted model, not a curated record. Lineage: Eukaryota; Metazoa; Chordata; Actinopteri; Perciformes; Percidae. The transcript is spliced from 3 exons.
GGAGAAGGAAUUCCAAUCCUUUACUUCAGUAAAAGUAGUAAUACGGCACUGAAAAAUACUGUUACAAUUAAAAGCCCUGCAUUGGAAAUGU